RNAcentral lists this ribosomal RNA (497 nucleotides) under uncultured bacterium. Its description in RNAcentral is "partial 16S ribosomal RNA". It matches the Rfam family "Bacterial small subunit ribosomal RNA", at positions 28 to 507 of the family's 1533-position model. The record is from RNAcentral.
GACGAACGCUGGCGGCGUGCCUAAUACAUGCAAGUUGAGCGAUGAAGAUUGGUGCUUGCCCCAAUUUGAAGAGCAGCGAACGGGUGAGUAACGCGUGGGGAAUCUGCCUUUGAGCGGGGGACAACAUUUGGAAACGAAUGCUAAUACCGCAUAACAACUUUAAACAUAAGUUUUAAGUUUGAAAGAUGCAAUUGCAUCACUCAAAGAUGAUCCCGCGUUGUAUUAGCUAGUUGGUGAGGUAAAGGCUCACCAAGGCGAUGAUACAUAGCCGACCUGAGAGGGUGAUCGGCCACAUUGGGACUGAGACACGGCCCAAACUCCUACGGGAGGCAGCAGUAGGGAAUCUUCGGCAAUGGACGAAAGUCUGACCGAGCAACGCCGCGUGAGUGAAGAAGGUUUUCGGAUCGUAAAACUCUGUUGGUAGAGAAGAACGUUGGUGAGAGUGGAAAGCUCAUCAAGUGACGGUAACUACACAGAAAGGGACGGCUAACUACGUG